AGAGUUUGAUCCUGGCUCAGAUUGAACGCUGGCGGCAGGCCUAACACAUGCAAGUCGAACGGUAACAGGAAGAAGCUUGCUUCUUUGCUGACGAGUGGCGGACGGGUGAGUAAUGUCUGGGAAACUGCCUGAUGGAGGGGGAUAACUACUGGAAACGGUAGCUAAUACCGCAUAACGUCGCAAGACCAAAAAGGGGGACCUUCGGGCCUCUUGCCAUCGGAUGUGCCCAGAUGGGAUUAGCUAGUAGGUGGGGUAACGGCUCACCUAGGCGACGAUCCCUAGCUGGUCUGAGAGGAUGACCAGCCACACUGGAACUGAGACACGGUCCAGACUCCUACGGGAGGCAGCAGUGGGGAAUAUUGCACAAUGGGCGCAAGCCUGAUGCAGCCAUGCCGCGUGUAUGAAGAAGGCCUUCGGGUUGUAAAGUACUUUCAGCGGGGAGGAAGGGAGUAAAGUUAAUACCUUUGCUCAUUGACGUUACCCGCAGAAGAAGCACCGGCUAACUCCGUGCCAGCAGCCGCGGUAAUACGGAGGGUGCAAGCGUUAAUCGGAAUUACUGGGCGUAAAGCGCACGCAGGCGGUUUGUUAAGUCAGAUGUGAAAUCCCCGGGCUCAACCUGGGAACUGCAUCUGAUACUGGCAAGCUUGAGUCUCGUAGAGGGGGGUAGAAUUCCAGGUGUAGCGGUGAAAUGCGUAGA
RNAcentral lists this ribosomal RNA (697 nucleotides) under uncultured bacterium. RNAcentral's name for it is "bacterial SSU rRNA". It matches the Rfam family "Bacterial small subunit ribosomal RNA", at positions 8 to 694 of the family's 1533-position model. The record is from RNAcentral.